UGCUGAUUGACAUUGCACAUUGUUGCAUAGCUUGUUGUCUAUAACAAUUCCCAAGUCCUUUUCAUGUGUUGUUAUCCCUAAUUCGCUUCCAUUAAGGGUAUACGUUGCUUGUGUAUUCUUUAUGCCAAAGUGCAUAACUUUGCAUUUUUCAACAUUAAAUUUCAUCUGCCAUUUGAGUGCCCAGUCCCCCAGUCUAUCUAAGUCCCUCUGC
Molecule: long non-coding RNA, 211 nt
Filed under: Pelobates cultripes (western spadefoot toad)
Lineage: Eukaryota; Metazoa; Chordata; Amphibia; Anura; Pelobatidae
Source: RNAcentral